CAGAACGAACGCUGGCGGCGUGCUUAACACAUGCAAGUCGAACGCGAAAGGGGGCUUUGCUCCCUGAGUAGAGUGGCGCACGGUGAGUAACGCGUGGGUAACUACCUAAUGUGGGGAUAACUACUCGAAAGGGUGGCUAAUACCGCAUGAGACCACGGAGUCUUCGGGCUCUGAGGCCAAAGAUUGCAUCGGCUUGCCGGUGCCGUCGCAAUAGGAUGGGCCCGCGUACGAUUAGCUAGUUGGUGAGGUAAUGGCUCACCAAGGCUACGAUCGUUAGCUGGUCUGAGAGGAUGACCAGCCACACUGGAACUGGAACACGGUCCAGACUCCUACGGGAGCAGCAGUGAGGAAUAUUGCGCAAUGGGGGAAACCCUGACGCAGCAACGCCGCGUGGGUGAAGAAGGCCUUCGGGUCGUAAAGCCCUUUCGGACGGGACGAACGUCAUGCGGGGAAACUCGUGUGGCUUGACGGUACCGUAAGAAGAAGCACCGGCUAACCCCGUGCCAGCAGCCGCGGUAA
This 519-nucleotide ribosomal RNA is filed under the name uncultured bacterium. RNAcentral describes it as "bacterial SSU rRNA". It matches the Rfam family "Bacterial small subunit ribosomal RNA", at positions 25 to 523 of the family's 1533-position model. The record is from RNAcentral.